This is a long non-coding RNA of Ictalurus punctatus (channel catfish), 1932 nucleotides long. The record is from Ensembl. NCBI's taxonomy places the organism in Eukaryota, Metazoa, Chordata, Actinopteri, Siluriformes, Ictaluridae.
CCCUGAAAGCAUUUAUUUAAGGUAUGCUUUAACUGAAUAUGCUAAACUUCAUGACAACGCUAAUUAUGGAACAUGAACACAAACCCAGCUUUCAGAGGUUUUAGAUGAAUCCCACUUAAAAUGUAAAAGUAUUUCAGGAUAGAUUAAGUGAGGGACCUGGAGAUUUUUAUCCAUUCUUAUGUAAGCAGAUAUAAUUUCUGAAAAAAAAUAAUAAUCAACUGCUUUUCAGGAUGAAGUAAUGGUAGACCUUUUAAUCCCAUUUAAUGACUUAUGUCUCUACCAAAUACUUCAUUUAAAGGCUAUUCAUUGGCCUUUUAUGGCAUGCUAUUCUGCAAAAAGUUUCUAGAAACCUGAAACUCACUUCAGUCCCAUUCCAGUAAGCUGAAAAAGGAUUGCAACUCCUGCUUUAGAGCCCCAGAUGUCCGUAACACCCACUCAGAAAACACACAGGCUCUCAACCAGAAGCUAAAGAGAGUGGACUCUGACUGCUACAGUACUGACCCGACCCAGAUAUUAACCCGAGCAUCCAGAUGUGAGCUGAAGGCAAGAUUACUGCAUCACUGCACCACUUCUAAUGAGGAGGAUCCUGAAUCGACCCCAAAGCCAAUAACGCCCUCAGAUGAGCCCUGCCUCAUAAGUGAAAAGUGAUACUGAUUACACGGUCAAAUAAAUAUUCUACAAUCCAUUAGGCGUGCACUGAUUUAAAUUAAAGUGGUCAUCACAUUUUAUUAGUUUAUCUUAUUAUCGGUAAAUAAACAUUAGCUGAGACUCGUUAGGGAUUCAGCUUCAUCACACGUCACUUAAGAGUAGCAGUUUGUUCACAAUCGACCACAAUUUUCUCAGACUGGUAAACUGAAUAGUUUGUGACAAUUAUUUAAUGCGUUCAUUGUAAUUAAUCGUGUGUAUCUCACAGCUCAAUACCUUAAUUUAAAAAGUUACAGGCUAUAACCUGAUUCAGUAUUAUGGCAACAUUUCAAAUUCACCUAAAGAAAGAUUUAAUUUUAAGGAACUGGGAAGCCACACCUACUUCAUUAGAACUGACAGACAGUGGUCACGCCUCCUUCAGUAGAACUGGCACACACAAAGGCCAAGCCUUCCUCACUGGGAACAGAAAACCAAAAAGGCCAUGUCUGCUUCACUAUAACUGACACACACAGAGGCCACGCCUCCUUCAUAGAGACUGACGGACGCAUAGGCCGUACCUCCUUCACAGAAACCGAUGGACACAGAAAGCCACGCCUCUGUUACUAGAACAGACAGGCACAGAGACCCCGCCUCCAUCACUAGAACGGACAGGCAAAAAGGCCACACCUCGGUUACUAGAACUGACAGGCACAGAGGCCCCGCCUCCUUCACUGGGAAUAGACAAGCACAGAGGCCACGCCUCCUUCACUGGGAAUAGACAAGCCCAGAGGCCCCGCCUCCUUCACUGGGAAUAGACAAGCCCAGAGGCCACGCCUCCUUCACUGGGAAUUGACAAGCCCAGAGGCCACGCCUCCUUCACUGGGAAUAGACAAGCCCAGAGGCCACGCCUCCUUCACUGGGAAUAGACAAGCCCAGAGGCCACGCCUCCUUCACUGGGAAUAGACAAGCCGAGAGGCCACGCCUCCUUCACUGGGAAUAGACAAGCCCAGAGGCCACGCCUCCCCUCACUGGGAAUAGACAAGCCCAGAGGCCACACCUCCUUCACUGGGAAUUGACAAGCCCAGAGGCCACGCCUCCUUCACUGGGAAUAGACAAGCCCAGAGGCCACGCCUCCUUCACUGGGAAUAGACAAGCCCAGAGGCCACGCCUCCUUCACUGGGAGUAGACAAGCACAGAGGCCACGCCCCCUCACUGGAAAUAGACAAGCACAGAGGCCACGCCUCCUUCACUGGGAAUAGACAAGCACAGAGGCCAUGCCAUUCACUAGUACUGACAGGCAUAGAGGCC